RNAcentral lists this long non-coding RNA (328 nucleotides) under Nicotiana benthamiana. RNAcentral's name for it is "long non-coding RNA (NBEN_LNC001897)". The record is from RNAcentral. Lineage: Eukaryota; Viridiplantae; Streptophyta; Magnoliopsida; Solanales; Solanaceae.
UAGGAGUCUUGAUGUCCAGCAAUUGAUUUUCUGUGUUAUCUUCUCUACUAUUGGCCAGCAUUAUAUAACUGACAUUUCUCAAUUGGAAUGUCAAACAAUAAAUGUCUUAUUUGGGAAACGUGAUGGACCAAACACCACUAGAAAUAAACUACGAUAAUUCACUGCAGACAUUGAACAUCACAGAAUACUCUUCCUGAAAUGCACUCAUUGCAAUGCAAUCUCUCAUUUCUAUUGCCAAAUCAACAACAACUACCCAGUAUAGUCUCACAGAGUGGGGUCUGGGGAGGGUAAUAUGUAGACGAGCCUUACCCCUACCCGAAAGGGCAGA